AGAGUUUGAUCCUGGCUCAGAACGAACGCUGGCGGCGUGCCUAACACAUGCAAGUCGAGCGGUCCAUGGGUUUCGGCUCAUGGGUAGCGGCAGACGGGUGAGUAACACGUGGGUAACCUGUCCUUGGGUGGGGGAUAACUACUCGAAAGGGUGGCUAAUACCGCAUAAGACCACGGCCUUGCGGGGCUGCGGUCAAAGGAGCAAUUCGCCUGAGGAGGGGCCCGCGGCCGAUUAGCUAGUUGGUGGGGUAACGGCUCACCAAGGCGACGAUCGGUAGCUGGUCUGAGAGGAUGAUCAGCCACACUGGUACUGAGACACGGACCAGACUCCUACGGGAGGCAGCAGUGGGGAAUAUUGCGCAAUGGGCGAAAGCCUGACGCAGCAACGCCGCGUGGGUGAUGAAGGCCUUCGGGUCGUAAAGCCCUGUCAGAUGGGACGAACCACCCCGCAAGGGGCCUGACGGUACCAUCGAAGGAAGCACCGGCUAACUCCGUGCCAGCAGCCGCGGUAAUACGGAGGGUGCAAGCGUUGUUCGGAAUCACUGGGCGUAAAGGGCGCGUAGGCGGCUUCAUCAGUCCGAUGUGAAAGCCCGGGGCUCAACCCCGGAAGUGCAUUGGAAACUGUGAGGCUUGAGUUCGGGAGGGGAAGGCAGAAUUCCCGGUGUAGGGUUGAAAUCCGUAGAUAUCGGGAGGAAAACCGGUGGCGAAGGCGGCCUUCUGGAACGAAACUGACGCUGAGGCGCGAAAGCGUGGGGAGCAAACAGGAUUAGAGACCCUGGUAGUCCACGCUGUAAACGAUGGAUGCUGGGUGUGGGUGACAAUACGGUCAUCCGUGCCGAAGCUAACGCAUUAAGCAUCCCGCCUGGGGAGUACGGUCGCAAGACUAAAACUCAAAGGAAUUGACGG
RNAcentral lists this ribosomal RNA (905 nucleotides) under uncultured delta proteobacterium. Its description in RNAcentral is "bacterial SSU rRNA". It matches the Rfam family "Bacterial small subunit ribosomal RNA", at positions 8 to 916 of the family's 1533-position model. The record is from RNAcentral. Lineage: Bacteria; Deltaproteobacteria.